Molecule: long non-coding RNA, 302 nt
Organism: Lingula anatina
Lineage: Eukaryota; Metazoa; Brachiopoda; Lingulata; Lingulida; Lingulidae
Source: RefSeq, a predicted model, not a curated record
CAAACUUUUAGUGCUCAGAGAUUACCACGCGUUUUGCAGAGUCAAUACGUUAUCAUAUGUCUAUGCUAUAUAAACUAUUGUCAGUGCAAGGAGAACCGAUAGCAAUAUUAAGCAACCAUGUCUAAGCACAGUGUGAUUCACCAGUCUACUUGGUCUAUCGGCCUUGUCAUGCAACCAGGCUAUCAGAAUCCUAAAGCAGCCUACAAGUAGCUUCUGAAAGGCUAUAUACGCAUUUGCUUUACAAUCCAGAAAAAAACAGAAGAUUAGGAAAAAAAACAGACUGAAAGCAAUUGCAUAUGGGA